This is a non-coding RNA of Electrophorus electricus (electric eel), 372 nucleotides long. The record is from RefSeq and is a predicted model, not a curated record. NCBI's taxonomy places the organism in Eukaryota, Metazoa, Chordata, Actinopteri, Gymnotiformes, Gymnotidae.
GAUCUGAAGUAGUAUGGUAGAAUAGGGUGAACAACGAUUGAAAGCUGUAUAUUCGGUUAGUCCUCCUCCUCCUCUUCAGCCUUCAAAAUAGAUUCUCUCAGGAGUAAGGUUGAACUGCUGCAGCUGCCGCUGGCUCUAUCCUCUAAAUCUAUCUCAGAGCGCAAAACUCAACUGGGCAUAGCAACAAAAUGUUCCAGGAGGCGGAGCUGGGGUCCACAAACCCCGCCCACUGGCCCCAGACAUGGACAACGAGUCACAGUACUCGGGCUACUCCUACAAGUCCUCCCAUUCCCGUAGCUCUCGCAAGCACAGGGAUCGGAGAGACAGGCACCGCUCUAAGAGCAGGGACAGCAGAGGGGACAAAUCGGUCAC